Ictidomys tridecemlineatus (thirteen-lined ground squirrel) is the source of this 95-nucleotide small nuclear RNA. NCBI's taxonomy places the organism in Eukaryota, Metazoa, Chordata, Mammalia, Rodentia, Sciuridae. The record is from Ensembl.
ACUCUUCUAGAGUAACUGAGCAACACAUCUUGGUAAGAUUAGCAUGGGUCCUGAACAGGGAUGACAUGGAAAUUCAUGAACUAUUCCAUAUUUUU